This 453-nucleotide ribosomal RNA is filed under the name uncultured Syntrophorhabdus sp. Its description in RNAcentral is "bacterial SSU rRNA". It matches the Rfam family "Bacterial small subunit ribosomal RNA", at positions 933 to 1382 of the family's 1533-position model. The record is from RNAcentral. Lineage: Bacteria; Pseudomonadati; Thermodesulfobacteriota; Syntrophorhabdia; Syntrophorhabdales; Syntrophorhabdaceae.
UGGAGCAUGUGGUUAAUUCGACGCAACGCGAAAACCUUACCUGGGCUUGACAUGGAGAGAAUCUCCUGGAAACAGGAGAGUGCCUCGUAAGAGGAGCUCUCACACAGGUGCUGCAUGGCUGUCGUCAGCUCGUGCCGUGAGGUGUUGGGUUAAGUCCCGCAACGAGCGCAACCCUCAUCUCUAGUUGCCAUCAUUAAGUUGGGCACUCUAGAGAAACUGCCGCAGUUAAUGCGGAGGAAGGUGGGGAUGACGUCAAGUCCUCAUGGCCCUUAUGUCCAGGGCUACACACGUGCUACAAUGGGCGGUACAAAGGGUCGCGAACCCGCAAGGGGGAGCUAAUCCACUGAAAGCCGUCCUCAGUUCGGAUUGAGGUCUGCAACUCGACCUCAUGAAGCUGGAAUCGCUAGUAAUCGCGGAUCAGCAUGCCCGCGGUCGAAUACGUUCCCGGGCCUU